AUUUGCGCCGAAGGUAUACCGGUAAGGAGUGCUGGAGCGAAUAGAAGUGAGCAUGCAGGCAUGAGUAGCGAUAAUUAAUGUGAGAAUCAUUAACGCCGUAAACCCAAGGUUUCCUACGCGAUGCUCGUCAUCGUAGGGUUAGUCGGGUCCUAAGUCGAGUCCGAAAGGGGUAGACGAUGGCAAAUUGGUUAAUAUUCCAAUACCAACAUUAGUGUGCGAUGGAAGGACGCUUAGGGCUAAGGGGGCUAGCGGAUGGAAGUGCUAGUCUAAGGUCGUAGGAGGUUAUACAGGCAAAUCCGUAUAACAAUACUCCGAGAACUGAAAGGCUUUUUGAAGUCUUCGGAUGGAUAGAAGAACCCCUGAUGCCAUCGAGCCAAGAAAAGUUUCUAAGUUUAGCUAAUGUUGCCCGUACCGUAAACCGACACAGGUGGGUGGGAUGAGUAUUCUAAGGCGCGUGGAAGAACUCUCUUUAAGGAACUCUGCAAAAUAGCACCGUAUCUUCGGUAUAAGGUGUGGUUAGCUUUGUAUUAGGAUUUACUCCGAAAGCAAGGAAACUUACAACAAAGAGUCCCUCCCGACUGUUUACCAAAAACACAGCACUCUGCUAACUCGUAAGAGGAUGUAUAGGGUGUGACGCCUGCCCGGUGCUCGAAGGUUAAUUGAUGGGGUUAGCAUUAGCGAAGCUCUUGAUCGAAGCCCGAGUAAACGGCGGCCGUAACUAUAACGGUCCUAAGGUAGCGAAAUUCCUUGUCGGUUAAAUACCGACCUGCAUGAAUGGCGUAACGAGAUGGGAGCUGUCUCAAAGAGGGAUCCAGUGAAAUUGUAGUGGAGGUGAAAAUUCCUCCUACCCGCGGCAAGACGGAGAGACCCCGUGGACCUUUACUACAGCUUGACACUGCUAUUUGGAUAAGAAUGUGCAGGAUAGGUGGGAGGCUUUGAGUAUAUGACGCCAGUUGUAUAUGAGCCAUUGUUGAGAUACCACUCUUUCUUAUUUGGGUAGCUAACCAGCUUGAGUUAUCCUCAAGUGGGACAAUGUCUGGUGGGUAGUUUGACUGGGGCGGUCGCCUCCCAAAUAAUAACGGAGGCUUACAAAGGUUGGCUCAGAACGGUUGGAAAUCGUUCGUAGAGUAUAAAGGUAUAAGCCAGCUUAACUGCAAGACAUACAAGUCAAGCAGAGACGAAAGUCGGUCUUAGUGAUCCGGUGGUUCUGUGUGGAAGGGCCAUCGCUCAAAGGAUAAAAGGUACCCCGGGGAUAACAGGCUGAUCUCCCCCAAGAGCUCACAUCGACGGGGAGGUUUGGCACCUCGAUGUCGGCUCAUCGCAUCCUGGGGCUGGAGCAGGUCCCAAGGGUAUGGCUGUUCGCCAUUUAAAGCGGUACGCGAGCUGGGUUCAGAACGUCGUGAGACAGUUCGGUCCCUAUCUGCCGUGGGCGUAAGAAGAUUGAAGAGAUUUGACCCUAGUACGAGAGGACCGGGUUGAACAAACCACUGGUGUAGCUGUUGUUCUGCCAAGAGCAUCGCAGCGUAGCUAAGUUUGGAAAGGAUAAACGCUGAAAGCAUCUAAGCGUGAAGCCAACUCUAAGAUGAAUCUUCUCUAAGCUCUCUAGAAGACUACUAGUUUGAUAGGCUGGGUGUGUAAUGGAUGAAAGUCCUUUAGCUGACCAGUACUAAUAGAGCGUUUGGCUUAUCUUUAAUAAAGCAU
This 1701-nucleotide ribosomal RNA is filed under the name Campylobacter coli. RNAcentral's name for it is "partial 23S ribosomal RNA". It matches the Rfam family "Bacterial large subunit ribosomal RNA", at positions 1243 to 2925 of the family's 2925-position model. The record is from RNAcentral. Lineage: Bacteria; Pseudomonadati; Campylobacterota; Epsilonproteobacteria; Campylobacterales; Campylobacteraceae.